CUUGUGUCCGUCCAUCCCCUCUACAGCCCCUGUGUCCGUCCGUCCCCUCUACAGCCCCUGUGUCCGUCCGUCCCCUCUACAGCCCCUGUGUCCGCCCGUCCCCUCUACAGCCACUGUGGUCGUCGUCCCCUCUACAGCCCCUGUGUCUCACCCCUCUUCAGCCCCUGUGUCCCCCCACACUACACCCCCUGUGUCCCUCUCCUCUACAGCUUCUGUGUGUGCCCCCCUCUACAGCCCUGCAAAGUCAAGGGGCAACUCACCACCAAGCUGAUCUAAUGGUGGCCUCCUAGACACGACCAACAGCGAGACGCAGGUACUACCAACAAG
Pelobates cultripes (western spadefoot toad) is the source of this 327-nucleotide non-coding RNA. The record is from the annotation of a GenBank genome assembly. Lineage: Eukaryota; Metazoa; Chordata; Amphibia; Anura; Pelobatidae.